Molecule: ribosomal RNA, 253 nt
Filed under: uncultured bacterium
Lineage: Bacteria
Description: partial 16S ribosomal RNA
Rfam family: Bacterial small subunit ribosomal RNA
Source: RNAcentral
UACAGAGGUCUCAAGCGUUGUUCGGAUUCAUUGGGCGUAAAGGGUGCGUAGGCGGUGCGGAAAGUUGGGUGUGAAAUCCCUGGGCUCAACCGAGGAACUGCGCCCAAAACUACCGUACUUGAGGAAGAUAGAGGUGAGCGGAACUUACGGUGGAGCGGUGAAAUGCGUUGAUAUCGUAAGGAACACCCGUGGCGAAAGCGGCUCACUGGGUCUUUUCUGACGCUGAUGCACGAAAGCUAGGGGAGCAAACGGG